GGAUGAACGCUGGCGGCGUGCCUAAUACAUGCAAGUCGAGCGAACGGACGAGAAGCUUGCUUCUCUGAUGUUAGCGGCGGACGGGUGAGUAACACGUGGAUAACCUACCUAUAAGACUGGGAUAACUUCGGGAAACCGGAGCUAAUACCGGAUAAUAUUUUGAACCGCAUGGUUCAAAAGUGAAAGACGGUCUUGCUGUCACUUAUAGAUGGAUCCGCGCUGCAUUAGCUAGUUGGUAAGGUAACGGCUUACCAAGGCAACGAUGCAUAGCCGACCUGAGAGGGUGAUCGGCCACACUGGAACUGAGACACGGUCCAGACUCCUACGGGAGGCAGCAGUAGGGAAUCUUCCGCAAUGGGCGAAAGCCUGACGGAGCAACGCCGCGUGAGUGAUGAAGGUCUUCGGAUCGUAAAACUCUGUUAUUAGGGAAGAACAUAUGUGUAAGUAACUGUGCACAUCUUGACGGUACCUAAUCAGAAAGCCACGGCUAACUACGUGCCAGCAGCCGCGGUAAUACGUAGGUGGCAAGCGUUAUCCGGAAUUAUUGGGCGUAAAGCGCGCGUAGGCGGUUUUUUAAGUCUGAUGUGAAAGCCCACGGCUCAACCGUGGAGGGUCAUUGGAAACUGGAAAACUUGAGUGCAGAAGAGGAAAGUGGAAUUCCAUGUGUAGCGGUGAAAUGCGCAGAGAUAUGGAGGAACACCAGUGGCGAAGGCGACUUUCUGGUCUGUAACUGACGCUGAUGUGCGAAAGCGUGGGGAUCAAACAGGAUUAGAUACCCUGGUAGUCCACGCUGUAAACGAUGAGUGCUAAGUGUUAGGGGGUUUCCGCCCCUUAGUGCUGCAGCUAACGCAUUAAGCACUCCGCCUGGGGAGUACGACCGCAAGGUUGGAACUCAAAGGAAUUGACGGGGACCCGCACAAGCGGUGGAGCAUGUGGUUUAAUUCGAAGCAACGCGAAGAACCUUACCAAAUCUUGACAUCCUUUGACAACUCUAGAGAUAGAGCCUUCCCCUUCGGGGGACAAAGUGACAGGUGGUGCAUGGUUGUCGUCAGCUCGUGUCGUGAGAUGUUGGGUUAAGUCCCGCAACGAGCGCAACCCUUAAGCUUAGUUGCCAUCAUUAAGUUGGGCACUCUAAGUUGACUGCCGGUGACAAACCGGAGGAAGGUGGGGAUGACGUCAAAUCAUCAUGCCCCUUAUGAUUUGGGCUACACACGUGCUACAAUGGACAAUACAAAGGGCAGCGAAACCGCGAGGUCAAGCAAAUCCCAUAAAGUUGUUCUCAGUUCGGAUUGUAGUCUGCAACUCGACUACAUGAAGCUGGAAUCGCUAGUAAUCGUAGAUCAGCAUGCUACGGUGAAUACGUUCCCGGGUCUUGUACACACCGCCCGUCACACCACGAGAGUUUGUAACACCCGAAGCCGGUGGAGUAACCUUUUAGGAGCUAGCCGUCGAAGGUGGGACAAAUGAUUGGGGUGAAGUCGUAACAAG
This 1488-nucleotide ribosomal RNA is filed under the name uncultured bacterium. RNAcentral describes it as "16S ribosomal RNA". It matches the Rfam family "Bacterial small subunit ribosomal RNA". The record is from RNAcentral.